This 497-nucleotide ribosomal RNA is filed under the name uncultured bacterium. RNAcentral describes it as "partial 16S ribosomal RNA". It matches the Rfam family "Bacterial small subunit ribosomal RNA", at positions 28 to 507 of the family's 1533-position model. The record is from RNAcentral.
GAUGAACGCUGGCGGCGUGCCUAAUACAUGCAAGUCGAGCGAACAGAUGAGGAGCUUGCUCCUCUGACGUUAGCGGCGGACGGGUGAGUAACACGUGGAUAACCUACCUAUAAGACUGGGAUAACUUCGGGAAACCGGAGCUAAUACCGGAUAAUAUAUUGAACCGCAUGGUUCAAUAGUGAAAGACGGUUUUGCUGUCACUUAUAGAUGGAUCCGCGCCGCAUUAGCUAGUUGGUAAGGUAACGGCUUACCAAGGCAACGAUGCGUAGCCGACCUGAGAGGGUGAUCGGCCACACUGGAACGGAGACACGGUCCAGAGUCCUACGGGAGGCAGCAGUAGGGAAUAUUCCGCAAUGGGCGAAAGCAUGACGGAGCAACGCCGCGUGAGUGAUGAAGGUCUUCGGAUCGUAAAACUCUGUUAUUAGGGAAGAAAAAAUGUGUAAGUAACUAUGAACGUAUUGACGGUACCUAAUCAGAAAGCCACGGCUAACUACGUG